RNAcentral lists this ribosomal RNA (254 nucleotides) under uncultured bacterium. Its description in RNAcentral is "partial 16S ribosomal RNA". It matches the Rfam family "Bacterial small subunit ribosomal RNA", at positions 524 to 776 of the family's 1533-position model. The record is from RNAcentral.
UACGGAGGGUGCAAGCGUUAUCCGGAAUCACUGGGUUUAAAGGGUGCGUAGGCGGGGGUGUAAGUCAGUUGUGAAAUGCCCCGGCUUAACCGGCGGAAGUGCGAUUGAUACUGCAUCACUUGAAUCAGGAUGAGGCAGGCGGAAUGUGGCAUGUAGCGGUGAAAUGCUUAGAUAUGACCUAGAACCCCAAUUGCGAAGGCAGCUUGCUUGGCCUGAAAUGACGCUGGGGCACGAAAGCGUGGGGCGGAAACAGG